Molecule: long non-coding RNA, 550 nt
Filed under: Dasypus novemcinctus (nine-banded armadillo)
Lineage: Eukaryota; Metazoa; Chordata; Mammalia; Cingulata; Dasypodidae
Description: lncRNA (ENSDNOG00000050138.1)
Source: RNAcentral
UUUACCUGGAAAAUCACUUUCUUUAACCAUACCCCAAUCCUCCUUUCUUCCAGGAAAUGGAACCAGAAUGACUCUUCAGAAUGCUGAUUUCCUAUGCAGAUUUUUCCUCAAUAAGCAUUGCAUACCCCCAACAUCAGGCCCUCCACACUCUGGUACUUCACUCUGCUCCAUGCCCAGGACCAGCCCAGGAAACCAGGCCCAGAUACGCUGUCAGAAGCUAAGGGGACAUCAUGGCCAACAUCUUCUGAGGACUUCCUCCCCUGGUCGGGCAGAUUGACUCCAGGGGACCAGACUGAACCCUCUCAGUCCCUCUCAGAUUCUCCCUGAAAUAGGUCAGUAGGACAACCUAGGAGAUGCCACCCAAUCCAAGCCUCUGUUGAGAAACUCUGUUGAAAACCUCUGGAGCCUUUCUCAAGUAUUUCCUCCUGGCUGGAUCACACCCCCUAGCCCAAGUCUCCUUUUCUGGAUAAAGGCCUUUGUGACCCAAUAGUAUCAAAUCCUUGCUGCCUAUUCCAUUUAUCAUUUGAAUUGGAUAGCUGGGUGUGCCAAA